AACGAACGCUGGCGGCAUGCCUAACACAUGCAAGUCGAACGAUACCUCCGCGUCUAGUUGCGCACGGGUGCGUAACGCGCGGGAAGGUGCCCUAAGGUUCGGAAUACUUCCCCGUAAUGGGGGCUAACACCGGGAAAUUUCUGCUGACCCAAGAUUUAUCGCCUUUGUAUGAGCCCGAGUUGGAUAAGCUUGUGGUUAGGGUAAGAGCCUACCAAGGCGACGAUCCAUAGCUGGGGACAGAGGAUGAUCAGCCACACUGGGACUGGGACACGGCCCGGAGUACUACGGGAGGAAGCGGGGGGGAAUACUGGACAAUGGGCGAGAGACUGAUGGAGCAAUGCCGGGUGAGUGAUUAUGGCGUUAGGGAAGUAAAGCUGUUUUAUCCGGGAUUGUAAUGACGGUACCGGGAGAAUAAGCGCCGGCUAACUCCGUG
RNAcentral lists this ribosomal RNA (433 nucleotides) under uncultured bacterium. Its description in RNAcentral is "partial 16S ribosomal RNA". It matches the Rfam family "Bacterial small subunit ribosomal RNA", at positions 29 to 507 of the family's 1533-position model. The record is from RNAcentral.